UGGGGAAUAUUGCACAAUGGAGGGAACUCUGAUGCAGCGACGCCGCGUGAACGAAGAAGGCUUUCGAGUCGUAAAGUUCUUUUAUAUGGGAAGAUAAUGACGGUACCAUAAGAAAAAGCCCCGGCUAACUACGUGCCAGCAGCCGCGGUAAUACGUAGGGGGCUAGCGUUGUCCGGAAUCACUGGGCGUAAAGGGUUCGCAGGCGGAAAUGCAAGUCAGGUGUAAAAGGCAGUAGCUUAACUACUGUAAGCAUUUGAAACUGCAUAUCUUGAGAAGAGUAGAGGUAAGUGGAAUUUUUAGUGUAGCGGUGAAAUGCGUAGAUAUUAAAAAGAAUACCGGUGGCGAAGGCGAGUUACUGGGCUCAUUCUGACGCUGAGGAACGAGAGCGGGGGUAGCAAACAGG
RNAcentral lists this ribosomal RNA (403 nucleotides) under Fusobacteriota bacterium. RNAcentral's name for it is "Fusobacteria bacterium partial 16S ribosomal RNA". It matches the Rfam family "Bacterial small subunit ribosomal RNA", at positions 355 to 776 of the family's 1533-position model. The record is from RNAcentral. Lineage: Bacteria; Fusobacteriati; Fusobacteriota.